GAGGCAGGGUUUCACCAUGUUGUUCAGGCUGGUCUUGAACUCUUGACCUCAGGUAAUCCACCCGCCUCGGCCUCCCAAAGUUCUGGGAUUACAGGUGUGGGCCACCGUGGCUGGCCUUAGUGACGUUUUUUUUGUGGCUCUAGCAGCUCUUGGCAAAUGAUCCCCCGUGAAGAAAGCAGCCAACUCCCUGGCUCAUCUCCCGCUUUCUGUUUGGACUGUGGGGUGUAAGAUGCUACUUUGGACAUGGUCAGAGAGAGCAUCUGCCACCUGGCAUGAAUGCCGCUACGUACCGUUUGCCUGUCUAGCUGAAGAGUGCCUCUGGGUAGAGUGCCUCUGUGUGGGUUUUCUUCCUGGAGCUGCCGGGUACCUGGUUUUGCAUGGCUCUCCAUGAAACCUCGGGAAUGAGCCUUCCUUGAGCCGCAUCUGUGUGCCGUUCCUCCCUGCUGGUGGGGCUGAUCUCCCGGGUGGUGGACAGCUUCUUGCCUCCAGGUGUUUUCAUUUCAGCCGCUCAGUCCUAUCCCUUGCUCCCAAAUAUUGCCUCACUGGCCUUGACUCCCACGCUCUGUCCUGUGCCUUGGGAGAGGAGCAGGUUUUGAAGGCUUGGAAAUGACGAGCGGCGGGGCCGGCACAGCCUUUGUAGCAGGAGGAAUCGGUUCACGUAGCCUUCCUCCUGUGCCCGCUGCGCAUGCUGACUCCGCCUUUCUUGGCAGCUGCC
This 715-nucleotide long non-coding RNA is filed under the name Homo sapiens (human). RNAcentral describes it as "HSALNT0236926". Lineage: Eukaryota; Metazoa; Chordata; Mammalia; Primates; Hominidae. The record is from RNAcentral.